RNAcentral lists this ribosomal RNA (900 nucleotides) under CFB group bacterium epibiont of Rimicaris exoculata. Its description in RNAcentral is "partial 16S ribosomal RNA". The stretch from base 1 to 723 matches the Rfam family "Bacterial small subunit ribosomal RNA". The record is from RNAcentral. Lineage: Bacteria; Pseudomonadati.
UCUCUAGGUGGCUUACCUGCAAGUCGAGGGGUAACAGGAAUAGCUUGCUAUUUGCUGACGACCGGCGCACGGGUGCGUAACGCGUAUGCAACCUACCUUUUACAGAGGGAUAGCCCGAAGAAAUUCGGAUUAAUACCUCAUAAUAUUGAUAUUUGGCAUCAAAUAUUAAUUAAAGUUUCGGCGGUAAAAGAUGGGCAUGCGUUUUAUUAGUUAGUUGGUAAGGUAACGGCUUACCAAGACUACGAUAAAUAGGGGUCCUGAGAGGGAGAUCCCCCACACUGGUACUGAGACACGGACCAGACUCCUACGGGAGGCAGCAGUGAGGAAUAUUGGACAAUGGGCGAGAGCCUGAUCCAGCCAUGCCGCGUGCAGGAAGACGGCCCUAUGGGUUGUAAACUGCUUUUAUACAGGAAGAAACCCCCUUACGUGUAGGGUGCUGACGGUACUGUAAGAAUAAGCACCGGGGUAACUCCGUGCCAGCAGCCGCGGUAAUACCGGAGGGGUGGCAAGGCGUUAUCCGGAAAUCAUUUGGGGUUUAAAGGGGUCCGUAAGGCGGGUUUAUUUAAAUUCAGAAGGUGAAAAUCCCCCCCACCUUUACCUGGGGGAACUGCCCUUUUUGAUACUGGGUAGUCUUUGGAUUUUUUUGGGAAAGUUAAAAUAAAAAUGGUGUUAUUGUUACCGGUUGAAAAUUCGCUUAAAUUUUUUCCCCAAAAUACCCCGUUUGGGAAAGGGAGGGCCUCCCUCCCUUUUUUACUUGACCCUCAAAGGGAAAAAAAGCCUUGGGGGCGGGAAACAGGAAUAUAAUAACCCCGGGGUAUCCACACCCCGUAACAAUGGGAACCACAGUUGUGUGGGGAUAUUUUCUCCUGGUGCCUACACGCAAAGUGUGUAUAAGUGUUC